AGCUCCAAUAGCGUAUAUUAAAGUUGCUGCAGUUAAAAAGCUCGUAGUUGGAUUUCUGACAAAGCGCGCUUAGGCCGCCAUGGUUACAUGGGGAGUCCUGAGCUGCGCUUGUCAUCCUUCUAGGUUAGGAUUGCCAGCCUUCACUGGUUUGGUGAUUCUGGACUAGAUCUUUUACUUUGACAAAAUUAGAGUGUUCAAAGCAGGCUUUCCGCUAUGAAUACAUUAGCAUGGAAUAAUAAUCUAGGACUUUGGUCUUAUUUUGUUGGUUUCUAGGACUAGAGUAAUGAUUGAUAGGGAUAGUUGGGGGUGCUAGUAUUCAGUGGCCAGAGGUGAAAUUCUUGGAUUCACUGAAGACUAACUUAUGCGAAAGCAUUCACCAAGGAUGUCUUCU
RNAcentral lists this ribosomal RNA (391 nucleotides) under uncultured eukaryote. RNAcentral describes it as "SSU rRNA". It matches the Rfam family "Eukaryotic small subunit ribosomal RNA", at positions 587 to 972 of the family's 1831-position model. The record is from RNAcentral.